Long non-coding RNA from Gasterosteus aculeatus aculeatus (three-spined stickleback), 4559 nucleotides. Lineage: Eukaryota; Metazoa; Chordata; Actinopteri; Perciformes; Gasterosteidae. The record is from Ensembl.
GGAGCUUCAGUCUGAAAGGAGGCGAUGGGAGGUGUGCAAUUGUCCCGCGCUGAAAGGGACAGUUAAAAGGAGAACCUUGUUGCAAAAGCUGGUGGGCCGGCCUGCAGGCUAGUUAAGUGCUGGUGGUGUGUGCAACUGUGUGUGUGUCUCUGAAGCCAAUCUACAUGUAAUUAUUUAAAGACCAAAAUAAGCUGUUUUAAAAUUCCAAUGCUUUGAGCAGUUGCCAGGCAAGCGGUGAAGUAUCCAGGAAGUUACUAGUUAUGGCCGACACAACUUUCUGUACAAUAGUGAAAGAACAUUUUUUACACAAUAUUUGUACAGACUAAAACAGAUACAAACUAUUCCCCUUGUUUCCCGUCUCUUUGCUAAGCUAACCUAAAGAAUGGAUCUUCUCAUCAUAUUCUUCAUCAGAAAAGCAUAACUUGGUGUUAGAAACAUUCUACUUCAUGAAAAGAAACCUUUCUUAAAUAUAUAAAAUCCGAUGUGAUCUCACCAAAUUACGUAAACUGACCACAGCCUCUUAGCGCGUUUUUAGGUAUUCUUGAUCAGGGCAGUUUAAUCUGACAUUAAAUCAGAGCUCUUUUAUUAAAAAUGUGCCAAAGAAAAUAUUAAAAACUCAAAAAGAGACAUUUAAGCAGUGCAUCCAGAUGAGAAAAACAAGACAGAGAAGUUGUUUCUGUUUGAUAAAACUCAUCAUCAACAUGCUUCAGAAAGCUUUGAGACGCCAAUUUUGUAUCAGAGCGUGUUCAGAUAGAGACCAAUAAGAACAUGAAGGUAUGUUUCUUCAUUACGGAAAUGUUAAUUUGACUUGUUUUUGCCUAAUUAACGGCAAUUACUUCCAAGAACAAAACAGCCUCACAAAUAGUAAUUAGGAAUUCAAUAUUCAUGUUGGUGGAGAUGGUUGUGAGGUCUGUAAUUAAUGAGCUUUUAAUUGUUUGAUCGUCUCCUUAAUUAAAGGCUUGCUAUAAUUUGAAGGUUUGUUUACUUUUCACAAAACAAAAAGAAUAAGAAAGACAGAAAUCUUAUUGAUAUUCUCUUUUAAAUAGAAUUUACCCAUGGAAUGAAAAAAUAAGACUUUUAAAAGUGAAGCAAACAUUUCCGAUAGAGGAAGAACAUCUCCUUGCAUUUCACUGCGCGAACUGGAAAUAAAUAAAUCUCAAAGCUACUUUUGAAGAACGCUGUAGGGUUUCACCUUCAGAUCUCAACUGGCGUUGCUGUCCCCCAUCUGCCGUUAGAACGCUUCAACCUUUGUGAAAUCUCUUUUUGUGAAACUUCAAAGCGUGGUUUGAUGACAUCUUCGACGGGCGGAAUGAAAGCAGUACAAUCAACUGUCACACAUGCAUUUGGCAGACUGCAGAACUGAUGUGGAAAAAAAGCUUCACGUUCAUAUUUGAUAAGAAUCUUAAAUCAAUAAACAGAACUUCUAACCACAUGGAACUCAAUCAAUUCCUAAUGGAGUAAAGUCGUACAACAAGACAAACAAAGAAACACGAUGAAAUCGUACAUCAUAUUUUAAUUGGCUCCUGAUUGCCAAAGAAAAUCAAAAACUGAAGCGUAAUUUCCCCAGGAUUUUACAACAAUUUCCAAAAUGAAAACUAUACAUUUUGCAUUAAAAGCAACCUUGACACCUUUCGCCCGCCACCUUGACCUUGUGUCUCCUCCUGAGAGAUGGCGAGACAGCCACCUACCGUCUUCGCACACUGCUGGAGGGACGCCUCCAUCGACCGUUGACUGCCCUGAGCUGGCCAGAGGGGGUCUAGUGGCCCACCCAGGAGAGAGAGACCAGGAGGACAUUGGGUUCUGCAAAAGGCGUAAAAAAACAAGCUACACAUGACAUAAAGAAGAAGGUGCAACAUGUUAUUUAUUUGGAGUCCUGUUUGUCCAAUAUUCAGUCUCUUUUAGCUCUGGUUUUAGUCUCUACCGACUCCCUUGGGAAGAUUUUAGCCAUUUAGCUAAAUGCUAAAUGUUUACCAUCUUAUUAUACCAGCUAAAGAGAGUCAGGACCCACAGGUGGAUCGCAGGUGCGCUAAACAAUCAUUUUGCAUACAACCAUUCACUUUCUGACGGAAAAACUUUUUGAUUAAUUUGUUCCGAAAGAAAAUCUCACACUAAAAUCACUCAGAAUAGUCAGCAUCUCCUGAAGGGUCACUGGGUGAAUCUGAAGCGAUGAUAAGCGGGUUCGGAAAGUUGUGCAAAAAAUUGAGGUUGUUCCAAAUAAAAGAGAACGUGUCUCAUAUUCUCUGCUUAUUCAACUACAUAUAACACAAUGCCUGAUAAGACAAAGACAAAAUGAUUCCUCCCUAAAGAGUCACAAGUAUUGCUUUGUGGGUCAAAAAGUCCAAAAUGUUGGAAACAAACGGUAUAAAUCACAGUAUACUGAACUAAUAUAAAAUACAAAACUUCUCUGGGUUGAUUACAUCUUGGAAGACUUUGAAUAAAUGCUCAUUCUGACUCUUCAGUCGCACGUAGAGGCUUGUGUGUAGAUGUUCUUCACCCACAAAAUUCAAUAAGCCAAAUUAGGACCAAUGCAAAACUUUACAAGUUUGAUAUAAUAGUAACACUCAAACUGAGUGAAAACAUUGCAUCGUAUUGAGUGGUUUUCUUCAUGUAAACCCAGUUGUGACUCAAAUGUUUACUAGCUGUCCUUUUUGCUACCCAGGAAUGUGAUGUGAGAGGCCAGCGAGCCACUCUGAAAGAGAGAACGAUUCAAAUGGAGAAGAGAGAAGAAGCAAGCAGAAACCUGAGAGACGAGACAGUGAGCGAGAAAAGAGUGUGAGAGGAGGCAGAGAUUUAAAAAAAAAAAAAAAAGACGCAAACAGAGGAAUAAAAGGAAAGCGAGGAGCUUAUAUGCGGUGAAAAGAGCACAUUAGGGACGGCCUGCUGCGACAGUAGUUUGGGGAACGGUGAAUAACUGCCUCCACUUAGACCAGUGUCCUGGUUGUGUGGCGCCGGGGGCCUCCGACCGACUCACACUCACAAAAAAACAACAACAGAAAAGCAAAAGAAAUGAAUUCAAGGCCAUAUAUUCCUGCACAAACCGAUACCUGGCACACACAAAAUGCUCUCACACCUCCUCUGGGAGCUCCACUCUGUCCCUCUCAUUCACACAUUUCUCCACAUUGGCCGGAUUAGGAACACUUUCUCUUGGGUGUGCGAAGCUGCCCCGCAGACAAAGAAACACUUGGGGACAGGAUUAGUAGGCUUACAGCGGAUUCACAUAUGUCCAGUUCAAGCAAUUGGUAUUCAAAGCUUUACACUUUCAAAUGCCACCAGGAGAGAGCAAAGCCGACCAACGCUUUUCUUUGCAUUGGCAGCACCUUUAUGAGAAGGGCUCUUUUGCUGGGCCAACAAUGGGGCCGUGAAUACACAUUUUUACUGUUCUACCAGGGCGAUCUCAUCGGCGACGGAUAGAGCGGCGAGCGGAGUUUGAGACAGACUUUAUUAUCUGAGUUUGAAGUGCUGUGUGUGUGUGUGUGUGUGUGUGUGUGUGUGUGUGUGUGUGUGUGUGUGUGCGGAUGGACGUAAGGACAGAUGGGUGGAUGGAGGGAUGCCCGAGGUGCUGGUCAGAGGAAGAGUGCUUCAGUUACUUCCCACAUGUUAUUGUUCGGCAGCCUGUUCCUCCACUCCACCUCCACAAAAAAGAUCUGGAGGAGACUCUUCAGAGUGGAGAAAGCGCUCUCAGCAGCUCAACACACACAAUACGGACACAAUUUAAUGUAUUUUCACAAUUUAAGGCCACAAAAAACGUCUGUGAGUUGCUGUUCGCAUGACGAAUCAAUAAAAUAUGUUUUAUGGUAGAUAAAUGUUUUUAAUUGGUUUAUUACAUUGGGAAAAUACAGUAUGCCUUAUCUAUCUGUUUUUUAAUUUUGUUUAUCGGUUUGUAUUGACCCCAAAUUUGUGAUUAAUUUAAUAUAAAUAUAUAUAUAUAUAGUGUAAAGGAAAUGUUAAUAAUGAGGACAGAAGUGAAUGAAGGAAAGGUUCUUCUCGAAGACAUCCAAGCGAUGAGAAGUUGCAUGAGGCCCGCAUGCUGCCAUACGGACAGCAGAGGGCCGAGCGUCGGAGCGGCCACGUCCCCGCUGUCCAGCGUAGGCCGUGCGCCCCUGUGGCCGCAGGAGAGGCUGAAUAGGACAGCAAUUUCCCCUUCCCAUUCCUCCUCCCCAUUCCUCCCGAUUCCACCCAAUUCCCUCAGGCAGCGAGCGGCCGAUCCGAGAUUUUGGCUUAAGAUCCGUCUUGAUAAGGGCUCAAAAUGAAUGUAUGAUGUUUUAAGAUAUCCCAGUGCAUCCUCCUUCCUCCCGAUGGACCAUUUUAUUUGUUUAUGGGUUAUUUAAUAAAACGCGUACUAAUAUGUAUGUUUUUAUUGUGUGCGUAAAAUUCAAAUUGCGCAGCUGAAAAAAACAGCCGGUUUGACAACACUAACUUAUUUCACUUGUUAAAUACAAAGUGUGAACUACGACAUGUUUGACACAAUAAUUGGUAUAGAAGUUCUCAAACUGACCAGUUUGUCCCAGGAAGAACCUUCUCAUCCACGGGAGGAGAGGAGAAGAGAAAGAGAAGAAGGG